UACGAACCGGACAAACGUUAUUCGGUAUCACUGGGCUUAAAGAGUUCGUAGGCGGCCAUGCAGGUCAGGUGUGAAAUCCCACAGCUCAACUGUGGAACUGCGCAUGAAACCGCAUGGCUUGAGGGAGAUAGAGGUGAGCGGAACAGAUGGUGGAGCGGUGAAAUGCGUUGAUAUCAUCUGGAACACCGGUGGCGAAAGCGGCUCACUGGAUCUCUUCUGACGCUGAGGAACGAAAGCUAGGGUAGCGAACGGG
RNAcentral lists this unclassified non-coding RNA (253 nucleotides) under uncultured Pirellulaceae bacterium. Its description in RNAcentral is "contains 16S-23S intergenic spacer region". It matches the Rfam family "Bacterial small subunit ribosomal RNA", at positions 524 to 776 of the family's 1533-position model. The record is from RNAcentral. Lineage: Bacteria; Pseudomonadati; Planctomycetota; Planctomycetia; Pirellulales; Pirellulaceae.